Long non-coding RNA from Sarcophilus harrisii (Tasmanian devil), 297 nucleotides. RefSeq lists it as uncharacterized. The record is from RefSeq and is a predicted model, not a curated record. The transcript is spliced from 3 exons. NCBI's taxonomy places the organism in Eukaryota, Metazoa, Chordata, Mammalia, Dasyuromorphia, Dasyuridae.
UUCAGCAAAUAAUAGCCAGCUGCUGGGGGCCCAAGAGGAACAUGUUAAACCAAACAAAGAAACCAGUAAAGUUAUAAGGAUGAUAAUGGAACCAUCAGUAGAAAUCGUCCUUCUCCACCGGAACAUUGACUCUAAGAGGAGCUAGGUGAAUUGAGGAAACUAUCACUGUAAAAUACACAGAUGAUCUCCAAGAUCUCUUAAGAGUAUCAUUUACGCCUAAAUCCAACAUCAUAAUUUCUUCCAACAUUUGACUAAGAGAAUGAAGGACAAUAACCAACCAACCAACCAACUGACCGA